RNAcentral lists this RNase P RNA (552 nucleotides) under Allomyces macrogynus ATCC 38327. RNAcentral describes it as "Nuclear RNase P". It matches the Rfam family "Nuclear RNase P". Rfam says of the family: Ribonuclease P (RNase P) is a ubiquitous endoribonuclease, found in archaea, bacteria and eukarya as well as chloroplasts and mitochondria. Its best characterised activity is the generation of mature 5'-ends of tRNAs by cleaving the 5'-leader elements of precursor-tRNAs. Cellular RNase Ps are ribonucleoproteins. Lineage: Eukaryota; Fungi; Blastocladiomycota; Blastocladiomycetes; Blastocladiales; Blastocladiaceae. The record is from Rfam by way of RNAcentral.
GGCAUAACUGGCACACGUACGGAGCACCUUGUUGCUCAUCCACCACGUCCAUUGGGAAGGUCCGAGAGUCCCGUCUGCCCGCCGCGUCCCGCUUGCCGCCCGUUCCCUUCGGGGACCCGUCCCGGUAUGUUUUUCCCCUCGCCCGUUCGCCUCUGGCCGUCCACAACUAUGCGCACCACGGCCUUGAUCUGUGCUGCUGCCACCUUCACGCCGCCAAAUAUGCGUGGCGCAUCUCUCGCGGAGGCCUCCAACUGUUCCUGGUUCCGGAGCAGGGGGAUAACAACUGGGCUUGUGCGUGUCGGGGUGGUGGUGGCACGUCGUGGUGUGCGUGGACGCGUUCUGGGGGCGCGGUGCAAUGAGGGCAUACUCGGGACGGAGUGCGGUGCGGGUUACUUUCUGGCGGCACAAGAAACCAACCGUUGAGGACCGGUCCGUUUUUCACGAGACUGCGAGACGUUGAAAGCGCCGCCGAGGGAUCAUUCCAUUCAGUGCAAUAUGCCGUAGCAGGAGUGCGCGAAAGCGUGUUCUGCCCACUCAAUUCGGACUAUUGCC